AGAUGUGCGUAGAAGGGAAGAGUACGGUUAGAUCACGGUGUAAGAGAGCCGGGGUGGCUGGGAGCCGGUACCUGGUUUAGCUGGGAAGCCGUCCCUGAGCAGUCGGGCAGAAUCAAAAAGUAAGCCCGACCGGAGGUACCGUUAUCACCGGGGUCGUGCGACUCCAUAAGGCCGCAACCGUGAGGUAGCGGCGAAGAUGGGUGGUAACGCGAGCGGAAAGUCAAGCCUCUCGUCCCGUUG
RNAcentral lists this non-coding RNA (240 nucleotides) under Actinomycetota bacterium. Its description in RNAcentral is "Actinobacteria bacterium T-box sequence". It matches the Rfam family "T-box leader". Rfam says of the family: Uncharged tRNA acts as the effector for transcription antitermination of genes in the T-box leader family. T-boxes are found upstream of many aminoacyl-tRNA synthetase genes and some amino acid biosynthetic genes usually in Gram-positive bacteria. Lineage: Bacteria; Bacillati; Actinomycetota. The record is from RNAcentral.